This is a long non-coding RNA of Brassica oleracea var. oleracea, 703 nucleotides long. RefSeq lists it as uncharacterized. The record is from RefSeq and is a predicted model, not a curated record. The transcript has 3 exons. NCBI's taxonomy places the organism in Eukaryota, Viridiplantae, Streptophyta, Magnoliopsida, Brassicales, Brassicaceae.
UUAACCUUAAAUCUAAUGGACAAAGGUGUUUCUUUCUCCCCCCUCUUACCUUGUCGUAUUUUCUGUUCUUCUCGUUCAAUUUCUUUUCCAGAUCUCGUCUCUCUAAUCUCUUUCUUCAUCACCACUAAACCUUAUCACCACCAGACCUUGUCUUCGUCUCCACCAAAUCUCGUCGUCGUUACAACCACAGCUCGCGUCGUCACCACCGUAGCUUCGUCCAUCGAGGCGAAGAUGAAGAAGAUCGUUUGACCUCCUCACCACCACGACAUAUCUAAAAAGGAGCAGGGAAAGAGAAGAAGUGGUGUUACAGAAUGUUAAAAAAAGGCGGAGGUGGCUAAAGAAGGUUGAUGGUGGUAGUCUCGGCGUCAACAGUGGUGGUCUCGGCGUCAACAGUGGUGGUCUCGGCGUCAACAGUUGUGGUCUCGGCGUCAACAGUGGUGGUCUCGACGUCGUCAAUGGUAGCUUAGCGCGGUGGAGGAGGCUGAAUAACCUUUACGGUGGUGUUCUUGGCUAGUGGUCUCCGCCUCAAAGAUGAAGAAACCGAAGGAGCUGAAGUUGACGGCAAAAAGUUUAGAUGCAGGGUUAAUUUUUUUUAAUUAGGUUAAGCUUUUUAGGUUUACAUUUCUAAACCGGGUUUUGUAAACCAGAAUUUAUUUGUAAACCAGAAUUAAAUUAGUAAAUAAAAUUUGAUUUUAAUUAUAAA